This is a long non-coding RNA of Myotis daubentonii (Daubenton's bat), 630 nucleotides long. RefSeq lists it as uncharacterized. The transcript is spliced from 4 exons. Lineage: Eukaryota; Metazoa; Chordata; Mammalia; Chiroptera; Vespertilionidae. The record is from RefSeq and is a predicted model, not a curated record.
GUCUUCCUUCCUCCACACCCUCCUCAGAAGUGGCCACGGAAAUCCUCGGCAAGGAUGUCCUAGCAGUUGAGAUAGAACCCAACCUAGGCUGGCCAGUCAGACCCCAUUUCUCUAUCCAGAGGGAAUGGUUCAGUUAUGGACAUGUGACCCAAGUAAGGCCAAUCAUGAUUGACAGAUGAGUACUGGCUAAGAGGGGUCCUCAUUAUCCAGAAAAUGCUGAAAAAGCAAAAGCAGCUUCAAAUUCAUCAGUCGACCCUCUUUUCUUACAGGCUCUUCAGUCCUCAUGCCAUCAGAGAGUUUUCACGAGCUGUUUCAACUCAUGAAAGUCUGGAGGCUCAGACCAUCAAGUUUGGCUCCUGCUCCCAGCUCUAGGCCCCGUAGGGAUUGGCCGAUACCUUCAGGAUUCUGCCCGUCUCAGCCUGUGAUGUCUUCCUUGCCGGGCCUUCCUUUCAGGGAAAGGAGAAUUGCUUAAGACUUAAAAGCUUGCUCAGCUGCGUCAAGCCCCCUUGCCUAGUAAGAAAGGACAAAUCUUCACAAACAUAAGGCCAUUUGACUUGAAGAGUCCCAUCCCACAGGACUGUCCGGGGCAGGGGACAGGGAUGCUGACUGCUGGCCUCGAUCCUGCUGCUG